UACGUAUGGAGCAAGCGUUAUCCGGAUUUACUGGGUGUAAAGGGAGUGUAGGUGGCCAUGCAAGUCAGAAGUGAAAAUCCGGGGCUCAACCCCGGAACUGCUUUUGAAACUGUGGGGCUAGAGUGCAGGAGGGGUGAGUGGAAUUCCUAGUGUAGCGGUGAAAUGCGUAGAUAUUAGGAGGAACACCAGUGGCGAAGGCGGCUCACUGGACUGUAACUGACACUGAGGCUCGAAAGCGUGGGGAGCAAACAGG
RNAcentral lists this ribosomal RNA (253 nucleotides) under Lachnospira eligens. Its description in RNAcentral is "partial 16S ribosomal RNA". It matches the Rfam family "Bacterial small subunit ribosomal RNA", at positions 524 to 776 of the family's 1533-position model. The record is from RNAcentral. Lineage: Bacteria; Bacillati; Bacillota; Clostridia; Lachnospirales; Lachnospiraceae.